Parelaphostrongylus tenuis is the source of this 73-nucleotide non-coding RNA. Lineage: Eukaryota; Metazoa; Nematoda; Chromadorea; Rhabditida; Metastrongylidae. The record is from the annotation of a GenBank genome assembly.
GUGUCGGUAGUGUAGCGGCUCAGCACGCGCUUUUGGAAAGAAUGAGAUCUGAGUUCGAAUUCCAGCUGACGCA